RNAcentral lists this ribosomal RNA (1462 nucleotides) under metagenome. Its description in RNAcentral is "bacterial SSU rRNA". It matches the Rfam family "Bacterial small subunit ribosomal RNA". The record is from RNAcentral.
AGAGUUUGAUCCUGGCUCAGAACGAACGCUGGCGGCAGGCCUAACACAUGCAAGUCGAACGAUGUAGCAAUACAUAGUGGCGCACGGGUGAGUAACGCGUGGGAAUCUGCCCAGUAGUACGGAAUAACAGUUGGAAACGACUGCUAACACCGUAUACGCCCUUCGGGGGAAAUAUUUAUAGCUAUUGGAUGAGCCCGCGUAAGAUUAGGUAGUUGGUAGGGUAAUGGCCUACCAAGCCUACGAUCUUUAGCUGGUCUGAGAGGAUGAUCAGCCACACUGGAACUGAGACACGGUCCAGACUCCUACGGGAGGCAGCAGUGGGGAAUAUUGGACAAUGGGGGAAACCCUGAUCCAGCCAUGCCGCGUGAGUGAUGAAGGCCUUAGGGUUGUAAAGCUCUUUUGCCAGGGAAGAUAAUGACGGUACCUGGAGAAUAAGACACGGCUAACUUCGUGCCAGCAGCCGCGGUAAUACGAAGGUGUCUAGCGUUGUUCGGAAUCACUGGGCGUAAAGCGCGCGCAGGCGGACUACCAAGUCUGAGGUGAAAGCCCGAAGCUCAACUUCGGAAUUGCCUUGGAAACUGGUAGUCUAGAGUGCAAUAGGGGGUAGCGGAAUUCCAAAUGUAGAGGUGAAAUUCGUAGAUAUUUGGAGGAACACCGGUGGCGAAGGCGGCUACCUGGAUUGCAACUGACGCUGAGGCGCGAAAGCGUGGGGAUCAAACAGGAUUAGAUACCCUGGUAGUCCACGCUGUAAACGAUGAAUGCUAGCUGUUGGCCCGUUAGGGUCAGUGGCGCCGCUAACGCAUUAAGCAUUCCGCCUGGGGAGUACGGUCGCAAGAUUAAAACUCAAAGGAAUUGACGGGGACCCGCACAAGCGGUGGAGCAUGUGGUUUAAUUCGAGGCAACGCGAAGAACCUUACCAGGCCUUGACAUGGUUAGUAUGGACUCCAGAAACGGAGUUCUUCAGUUCGGCUGGCUAACACACAGGUGUUGCAUGGCUGUCGUCAGCUCGUGUCGUGAGAUGUUGGGUUAAGUCCCGCAACGAGCGCAACCCUCAUCUUUAGUUGCUACCAUUUAGUUGAGCACUCUAAAGAAACUGCCGGUGAUAAGCCGGAGGAAGGCGGGGAUGACGUCAAGUCCUCAUGGCCCUUACGGCCUGGGCUACACACGUGCUACAAUGGCGGUGACAGAGCGCAGCUAACCCGCGAGGGUAAGCGAAUCGCUAAAAACCGUCUCAGUUCGGAUUGCUCUCUGCAACUCGAGAGCAUGAAGCUGGAAUCGCUAGUAAUCGUAGAUCAGCAUGCUACGGUGAAUACGUUCCCGGGUCUUGUACACACCGCCCGUCACACCAUGGGAAUUGGUUCUACCUUAAGCUGGUUGCCUAACUUCGGAGGGCGCCAACCACGGUCGGGUCAGUAACUGGGGUGAAGUCGUAACAAGGUAGCCGUAUCGGAAGGUGCGGCUG